UAAAAUGCAGUGACAAGGAGGAGUACAUAAUCGCCGGAUGUUCAGAGAAAAGACGGCUGGUGGAAGUCUUUGUGAAGGGAUUAUGGAAGGUAGCCUUCGAGCAGUGGACCGAACCAUGAUAUACCAAGUAUCAUGCAGUAGACUCCAACGUAAUUUCCACGUUACAGGAAAGCAGUAUAGUUUCUUCUGUACUGGCUGAGUGCAGAGAGUGAUUCUCUGAAAUUAGGUGGUAACACGGAUCAAUUCGCCCUAAGC
This 255-nucleotide non-coding RNA is filed under the name Blautia sp. Its description in RNAcentral is "T-box sequence". It matches the Rfam family "T-box leader". Rfam says of the family: Uncharged tRNA acts as the effector for transcription antitermination of genes in the T-box leader family. T-boxes are found upstream of many aminoacyl-tRNA synthetase genes and some amino acid biosynthetic genes usually in Gram-positive bacteria. Lineage: Bacteria; Bacillati; Bacillota; Clostridia; Lachnospirales; Lachnospiraceae. The record is from RNAcentral.